This 392-nucleotide ribosomal RNA is filed under the name uncultured bacterium. Its description in RNAcentral is "partial 16S ribosomal RNA". It matches the Rfam family "Bacterial small subunit ribosomal RNA", at positions 523 to 918 of the family's 1533-position model. The record is from RNAcentral.
AUACGGAGGAUGCGAGCGUUAUCCGGAUUUAUUGGGUUUAAAGGGUGCGCAGGCGGCCAUUUAAGUCAGCGGUUAAAUCGUGGGGCUCAACCCCAUUCUGCCGUUGAUACUGGGUGGCUUGAUUGCGGUCGAGGUUGGCGGAAUUCGUUGUGUAGCGGGGAAAUGCAUAGAUAUGACGAAGAACACCGAUUGCGUAGGCAGCUGACCAGACCGCAAAUGACGCUCAUGCACGAAAGUGCGGGGAUCGAACAGGAUUAGAUACCCUGGUAGUCCGCACAGUAAACGAUGAAUACUUGUUUUCGGCGAUAUAAUGUCGGAGGCAAAGCGAAAGCGAUAAGUAUUCCACCUGGGGAGUACGCCGGCAGCGGUGAAACUCAAAGGAAUUGACGGGG